GAGAGUUAAACAGUACGUGAAAUUGUUGAAAGGGAAACGAUUGAAGUCAGUCAUACCAACGGGAAAUCAACCUCUUGAGUUUGGUCUCGUGGGUUUCGAAGAGUUUUAAAAGCCUUCGGAUUUUCGAGAUUGGGCUCUUCUGGUGUACUUUCUCGUACGGUUAGUCAACAUCGGUUUUGAAUGUCAUAAAAUGACUGGAGGAAUGUGGCUUCGAUCUCGUAUUGAAGUGUUAUAGCCUUUGGUAGAUGUGAUGUUCGAGACCGAGGAUUGCAACGGAUACCCUUCUGGGCUAUUCGUCUGAUCUCUGAAACGUUGCCUUGAUGUCGAAAGCUUGCUUAUGAUGUUAAGGGUAUUACGGUCAAAAGGUUAGAACGGAUUAAAUUCGUUAAGGAUGUUGACGUAAUGACUUUAAACGA
This 416-nucleotide ribosomal RNA is filed under the name uncultured Funneliformis. RNAcentral describes it as "partial 28S ribosomal RNA". The record is from RNAcentral. Lineage: Eukaryota; Fungi; Glomeromycota; Glomeromycetes; Glomerales; Glomeraceae.